This is a non-coding RNA of 79 nucleotides. It matches the Rfam family "S10-Clostridia ribosomal protein leader".
AAAAGCGAUGAAACAUAAGAUUGCAGCAUUCCCGGCUGGUAACUUAUGCGGAGCAAAUGUCUAGUCAUGAUACAGGCGA